UUAGUGCCUUCAAAAACUCUGAGACAGGUGCUGCAUGGCUGUCGUCAGCUCGUGUUGUGAAAUGUUGGGUUAAGUCCCGUAACGAGCGCAACCCUUGUCCUUAGUUACUAACAUUAAGUUGAGAACUCUAAGGAGACUGCCGGUGACAAACCGGAGGAAGGCGGGGACGACGUCAAGUCAUCAUGGCCCUUACGAGUAGGGCUACACACGUGCUACAAUGGCCAGUACAGAGGGUUGCCAAGCCGCGAGGUGGAGCUAAUCCCAUAAAGCUGGUCGUAGUCCGGAUUGGAGUCUGCAACUCGACUCCAUGAAGUCGGAAUCGCUAGUAAUCGUGAAUCAGAAUGUCACGGUGAAUACGUUCCCGGGCCUU
Molecule: ribosomal RNA, 370 nt
Filed under: uncultured bacterium
Lineage: Bacteria
Description: bacterial SSU rRNA
Rfam family: Bacterial small subunit ribosomal RNA
Source: RNAcentral